RNAcentral lists this ribosomal RNA (521 nucleotides) under uncultured archaeon. RNAcentral describes it as "bacterial SSU rRNA". It matches the Rfam family "Archaeal small subunit ribosomal RNA", at positions 325 to 849 of the family's 1478-position model. The record is from RNAcentral.
ACGGGGUGCAGCAGGCGCGAACACUUUACAAUGCGGGAAACCGCGAUAAGGGAACCCCGAGUGCCAGCAUCAAAUGUUGGCUGUCCAGAUGAUUAAAAAUCAUUUGUUAGCAAGGGCCGGGCAAGAUCGGUGCCAGCCGCCGCGGUAACACCGGCGGCCCGAGUGGUAGCCGUUUUUAUUGGGUCUAAAGGGUCCGUAGCCGGCCUGAUAAGUCCUUUGGGAAAUCUGGCAGCUUAACUGUCAGGCUUCUAAGGGAUACUGUCAGGCUUGGGACCGGAAGAGGUAAGGGGUACUCCAGGGGUAGGAGUGAAAUCUUGUAAUCCCUGGGGGACCAUCUGUGGCGAAGGCGCCUUACCAGAACGGGUCCGACGGUGAGGGACGAAAGCUAGGGGAGCAAACCGGAUUAGAUACCCGGGUAGUCCUAGCUGUAAACGAUGCUCGCUAGGUGUCAGACACGGUGCGACCGUGUUUGGUGCCGCAGGAAGCCGUUAAGCGAGCCACCUGGAAGUACGUCGCAAGGC